This 440-nucleotide ribosomal RNA is filed under the name uncultured bacterium. RNAcentral describes it as "partial 16S ribosomal RNA". It matches the Rfam family "Bacterial small subunit ribosomal RNA", at positions 338 to 795 of the family's 1533-position model. The record is from RNAcentral.
CCUACGGGAGACAGCAGUGGGGAAUAUUGCACAAUGGGGGAAACCCUGAUGCAGCGACGCCGCGUGAGCGAUGAAGUAUUUCGGUAUGUAAAGCUCUAUCAGCAGGGAAGAAAAUGACGGUACCUGACUAAGAAGCCCCGGCUAACUACGUGCCAGCAGCCGCGGUAAUACGUAGGGGGCAAGCGUUAUCCGGAUUUACUGGGUGUAAAGGGAGCGUAGACGGCGAUGCAAGCCAGAUGUGAAAGCCCGGGGCCCAACCCCGGGACUGCAUUGGAAACUGUUGAACUGGAGUACAGGAGAGGUAAGCGGAAUUCCUAGUGUAGCGGUGAAAUGCGUAGAUAUUAGGAGGAACACCAGUGGCGAAGGCGGCUUACUGGACUGUAACUGACGUUGAGGCUCGAAAGCGUGGGGAGCAAACAGGAUUAGAUACCCUUGUAGUC